Molecule: unclassified non-coding RNA, 306 nt
Filed under: plant metagenome
Description: partial contains 5.8S ribosomal RNA, internal transcribed spacer 2, and large subunit ribosomal RNA
Rfam family: 5.8S ribosomal RNA (bases 1-105)
Source: RNAcentral
GAAAUGCGAUAAGUAAUGUGAAUUGCAGAAUUCAGUGAAUCAUCGAAUCUUUGAACGCACAUUGCGCCCGCCAGUAUUCUGGCGGGCAUGCCUGUCCGAGCGUCAUUUCAACCAUCAAGCCCCCGGGCUUGUGUUGGGGACCUGCGGCUGCCCGCAGGCCCUGGAAACCAGUGGCGGGCUCGCUGUCACACCGAGCGUAGUAGCAAUCACCUCGCUCAGGGCGUGCUGCGGGUUCCGGCCGUUAAACAGCCUUACAAAACCCAAGGUUGACCUCGGAUCAGGUAGGAAGACCCGCUGAACUUAAGC